RNAcentral lists this ribosomal RNA (380 nucleotides) under uncultured bacterium. RNAcentral's name for it is "bacterial SSU rRNA". It matches the Rfam family "Bacterial small subunit ribosomal RNA", at positions 28 to 405 of the family's 1533-position model. The record is from RNAcentral.
GAUGAACGCUAGCGGCAAGCUUAAUACAUGCAAGUCGUGGGGCAGCAGGGGUAGCAAUACCCGCUGGCGACCGGCAAACGGGUGCGGAACACGUACGCAACCUUCCUUUAACUGGAGAAUAGCCCCUCGAAAGAGGGAUUAAUACUCCGUAACAUAUACAUGUGGCAUCACAAGUAUAUUAUAGCUCCGGCGGUUAAAGAUGGGCGUGCGCCUGAUUAGAUAGUUGGCGGGGUAACGGCCCACCAAGUCUGCGAUCAGUAACUGGUGUGAGAGCACGACCAGUCACACGGGCACUGAGACACGGGCCCGACUCCUACGGGAGGCAGCAGUAAGGAAUAUUGGUCAAUGGACGCAAGUCUGAACCAGCCAUGCCGCGUGGA